RNAcentral lists this ribosomal RNA (402 nucleotides) under uncultured prokaryote. RNAcentral describes it as "bacterial SSU rRNA". It matches the Rfam family "Bacterial small subunit ribosomal RNA", at positions 355 to 774 of the family's 1533-position model. The record is from RNAcentral.
UGGGGAAUAUUGCACAAUGGGGGAAACCCUGAUGUAGCGACGCCGCGUGAAGGAUGAAGUGUUUCGGCAUGUAAACUUCUAUCAGCAGGGAAGAAAAUGACGGUACCUGACUAAGAAGCCCCGGCUAACUACGUGCAAGCAGCCGCGGUAAUACGUAGGGGGCAAGCGUUAUACGGAUUUACUGGGUGUAAAGGGAGCGUAGACGGUUGUGCAAGUCAGAUGUGAAAGUCCAGGGCUCAACCCUGGGACUGCAUUUGAAACUGUGCAACUAGAGUGGCGGAGAGGUAAGUGGAAUUCCUAGUGUAGCGGUGAAAUGCGUAGAUAUUAGGAGGAACACCAGUGGCGAAGGCGACUUACUGGACGAUAACUGACGUUGAGGCUCGAAAGCGUGGGGAGCAAACA